AUAGAUUCUGCUCUUUUUAACCUCUCUGAGCUGUGGCUUACUCGUGUGUAAAAUAUGGUUAAUAGACCUAUGCCAGAGUGUUGUUGAGAGAAUAGAAUCAGAUGAAGUAAUGUAUGAAGCUGCCUAGCAAGACCAUUUGGGGACCUCAAUCUUAUUUCUUUCCUUUGCAGGUGUAUAAAUAAAGCUCAGUUUUGCUGAGGUCAUCCAUGAUUUCUGGGCAUUUCUUUUCUGCUGAACCUUGAAGAGUAACAAAGCCUUCUUUCUCUUUGAUUCUAGGUCUACUCUGUAGGUUCCCAUUCAUUCCUCAUGCAUAGCAGCAGAAGGGACACUGACAAGCACAUCAGAGAGGGAAUUGCUUGAAAUAGAUUCUGGGCGGGAAGACCCAGUAUUUUUUUUCUGCAAAUUGUCCAGAUUCAAGAUACUGAAGAGUCAAGAAGGAAAAAGGCACUCAGGAAGGAAAAACCUUCAAAGAGGAGGAGAUAUUUCAGUGGGCUUUUGACAGGUAAGACCAAUUUUGACAAUCAUAAAAAGAGGAAGGGCAUGGAGACAACAUUCUGCAGAGGGAUAUGGUAAGAAAGAGUGUAUUGGGGAAA
This 593-nucleotide long non-coding RNA is filed under the name Felis catus (domestic cat). RNAcentral describes it as "lncRNA (ENSFCAG00000053646.1)". The record is from RNAcentral. Lineage: Eukaryota; Metazoa; Chordata; Mammalia; Carnivora; Felidae.